AGUCGAGGGGCAGCAUUUUAGUUUGCUUGCAAACUGAAGAUGGCGACCGGCGCACGGGUGAGUAACACGUAUCCAACCUGCCGAUAACUCUGGAAUAGCCUUUCGAAAGAAAGAUUAAUACCGGAUGGCAUACGAAUAUCGCAUGAUAUUUUUAUUAAAGAAUUUCGGUUAUCGAUGGGGAUGCGUUCCAUUAGUUUGUUGGCGGGGUAACGGCCCACCAAGACAACGAUGGAUAGGGGUUCUGAGAGGAAGGUCCCCCACAUUGGAACUGAGACACGGUCCAAACUCCUACGGGAGGCAGCAGUGAGGAAUAUUGGUCAAUGGGCGAGAGCCUGAACCAGCCAAGUAGCGUGAAGGAUGAAGGCUCUAUGGGUCGUAAACUUCUUUUAUAUGGGAAUAAAGUUUUCCACGUGUGGAAUUUUGUAUGUACCAUAUGAAUAAGGAUCGGCUAACUCCGUGCCAGCAGCCGCGGUAAUACGGAGGAUCCGAGCGUUAUCCGGAUUUAUUGGGUUUAAAGGGAGCGUAGGUGGAUUGUUAAGUCAGUUGUGAAAGUUUGCGGCUCAACCGUAAAAUUGCAGUUGAAACUGGCAGUCUUGAGUACAGUAGAGGUGGGCGGAAUUCGUGGUGUAGCGGUGAAAUGCUUAGAUAUCACGAAGAACUCCGAUUGC
This 668-nucleotide ribosomal RNA is filed under the name uncultured bacterium. Its description in RNAcentral is "bacterial SSU rRNA". It matches the Rfam family "Bacterial small subunit ribosomal RNA", at positions 60 to 716 of the family's 1533-position model. The record is from RNAcentral.